GACGAAGGUGGCUAGCGUUGCUCGGAUUUACUGGGCAUAAAGCGCGCGUAGGUGGUCGUGUAAGCGGGGGAUGAAAGCCCAUGGCUCACCCAUGGAACUGUCCCCCGGACUGCACGGCUCGAGGAAGGAAGGGGAGAAUGGAAUUCCCGGUGUAGCGGUGAAAUGCGUAGAUAUCGGGAGGAACGCCGGUGGCGAAAGCGGUCUUCUGGACGGUGACUGACGCUGAGGCGCGAAAGCGUGGGGAGCAAACGGG
This 253-nucleotide ribosomal RNA is filed under the name uncultured bacterium. RNAcentral describes it as "partial 16S ribosomal RNA". It matches the Rfam family "Bacterial small subunit ribosomal RNA", at positions 524 to 776 of the family's 1533-position model. The record is from RNAcentral.